GUCUAUGGCCAUAGCAACCUGAAUUCGCCCAAACUCAUCUGAUCUCAGAAGCUAAUCAGGGUCAUGCCUGGUUAGUACUUGGAUGAGAAGAGAAGAGGGGUUCUUUCAGCU
Mesocricetus auratus (golden hamster) is the source of this 111-nucleotide ribosomal RNA. The record is from Ensembl. NCBI's taxonomy places the organism in Eukaryota, Metazoa, Chordata, Mammalia, Rodentia, Cricetidae.